AGUGAAAUCCCUUAGUAACGAAGCUAACGCGUGAAGUUGACCGCCUGGGGAGUACGGUCGCAAGAUUAAAACUCAAAGGAAUUGACGGGGACCCGCACAAGCGGUGGAUGAUGUGGAUUAAUUCGAUGCAACGCGAAAAACCUUACCUACCCUUGACAUGUCCGGAAUCCUGCAGAGAUGCGGGAGUGCUCGAAAGAGAACCGGAACACAGGUGCUGCAUGGCUGUCGUCAGCUCGUGUCGUGAGAUGUUGGGUUAAGUCCCGCAACGAGCGCAACCCUUAUCAUUAGUUGCUACGCAAGGGCACUCUAAUGAGACUGCCGGUGACAAACCGGAGGAAGGUGGGGAUGACGUCAAGUCCUCAUGGCCCUUAUGGGUAGGGCUUCACACGUCAUACAAUGGUCGGUACAGAGGGUUGCCAAGCCGCGAGGUGGAGCCAAUCCCAGAAAGCCGAUCGUAGUCCGGAUUGUUCUCUGCAACUCGAGAGCAUGAAGUCGGAAUCGCUAGUAAUCGCGGAUCAGCAUGUCGCGGUGAAUACGUUCCCGGGUCUUGUACACACCGCCCGUCACACCAUGGGAGUGGAAUCUGGCAGAAGUAGGUAGCCUAACCGCAAGGAGGGCGCUUACCACGCUGGGUUUCAUGACUGGGGUGAAGUCGUAACAAGGUAACC
Molecule: ribosomal RNA, 668 nt
Filed under: uncultured bacterium
Lineage: Bacteria
Description: bacterial SSU rRNA
Rfam family: Bacterial small subunit ribosomal RNA
Source: RNAcentral